GACGAACGCUGGCGGCGUGCCUAAUACAUGCAAGUCGAGCGGACGAAUCGAAAGCUUGCUUUUGAUUCGUUAGCGGCGGACGGGUGAGUAACACGUGGGCAACCUGCCCUGUAGACGGGGAUAACACCGAGAAAUCGGUGCCAAUACCGGAUAACACGAAAUGUCGCAUGACGUUUCGUUGAAAGACGGCGCAAGCUGUCGCUACAGGAUGGGCCCGCGGCGCAUUAGCUAGUUGGUGAGGUAACGGCUCACCAAGGCGACGAUGCGUAGCCGACCUGAGAGGGUGAUCGGCCACACUGGGACUGAGACACGGCCCAGACUCCUACGGGAGGCAGCAGUAGGGAAUCUUCCGCAAUGGACGAAAGUCUGACGGAGCAACGCCGCGUGAGCGAAGAAGGCCUUCGGGUCGUAAAGCUCUGUUGUUAGGGAAGAACAAGUAACGCAGUAACUGGCGUUACCGUGACGGUACCUAACGAGAAAGCCACGGCUAACUACGUG
Molecule: ribosomal RNA, 498 nt
Filed under: uncultured bacterium
Lineage: Bacteria
Description: partial 16S ribosomal RNA
Rfam family: Bacterial small subunit ribosomal RNA
Source: RNAcentral